CAGCAGCCGCGGUAAUGCGUAGGGUGCGAGCGUUAAUCGGGAUUACUGGGCGUAAAGCGUGCGCAGGCGGUUCGUUAAGACAGAUGUGAAACCCCCGGGCUUAACCUGGGAACUGCAUUUGUGACUGGCGAGCUAGAGUAUGGCAGAGGGGGGUAGAAUUCCACGUGUAGCAGUGAAAUGCGUAGAGAUGUGGAGGAAUACCGAUGGCGAAGGCAGCCCCCUGGGCCAAUACUGACGCUCAUGCACGAAAGCGUGGGGAGCAAACAGGAUUAGAUACCCCCGUAGUCCCUGUCUCUUAUAA
RNAcentral lists this ribosomal RNA (301 nucleotides) under uncultured bacterium. RNAcentral's name for it is "partial 16S ribosomal RNA". It matches the Rfam family "Bacterial small subunit ribosomal RNA", at positions 509 to 809 of the family's 1533-position model. The record is from RNAcentral.